CAAACAAUAUGACAGAUUGAUGCCUAUAAUAAAGUCAGAUUCUAUAAAUCAGAUUCUGACAGAUUGCAGUACAGUAUAGUUAUUAAAAUAUCUGUGUUAUGGUUACAAUUUGCUGCACCUAUAAAGCCUGUUUAUAUUGGUCAUAACACACUACAUCCCUAUCUGUGAUGACAGAAGGGAGUUUGUGAUAUGGUGUGAUGACUUCUGCAUAACUCCUGCAUUCUUACUGAUUAUUUAUUCCCUGAUUGUUUUAUAAGUGUCCUCCUGACAUGUAAAAACUGUGAAUGAGCCAGCUUACUGAUUACUCAUUAGUGAAUUAGUAUCUGGUGACCAAAACAUUAAAAGUCUGACUGACAUUGAUUUAAUAUGCCUAUAAAUUAUCAUCUCCAGUGAUUAAACUAAGCACUAUCACAGCAGGGGAGUUUAAACUUGGCCACAGAGAGUGGAUUGUGGUUUGACUCAAUGUAUGGGACAUUGUGGCCAUAUAAAUAGGGAAUGAUUAGUCAAUUAUAGUCAUACUAAUUCUAUGCACAAAGGGAGUUGGAUUGAUGCCAAGGUAUCUAGAUGUCUGUGAUGAUGCCACCACACUGCAUUGUGAUGUCAUAGGCCCAACAUCAACAAGUCCUUUGGAGGUUGACUCUGAGGCCUCAUUAGCUCUAGGCAGGGCCACCAGGAGGCAGUCUCUGUUUGUGGGGGAAAGAAGGGGAAGUUGAGGCUAGACGCCCAUCACAGUCUCUGCUCAGUCCAGUCACCAUUCAGCCACCAUGAUGGAGCUGACACCAGAUGGAGGAGCCUUAAAGAGGUCUCAGAUCACAUUACAAGCACCCGAGCCCGUCAUCGUAAACCACUUCUGUUCAUGUGCAGCUGGGAGAGCUUUGUGCAAUCAUCUGGUGGCUCUACUCUUCCAGACUGCACAUUACACCACAAUGGGGUUGAAGACCGUGCCACCACCAUUGCCUUGCACAGGGGUACUGCAGUCGUGGCACAGGCCAAGGACUCGAGGAUUCGACCAGAGCCCACUGAUGAAAUGGUUGUGAGGAAGCCAAGGACAUCAGGCAGGAGUGGCAUAAAAUCCACUCUUGACCAAGCAUUCCCUGUUUGAGGAGCAUGAGACCACAGCCUGCCAUUGCCAAGGUGCUGCAUGGAUUGGAAGAAAUUACUCUGGCUGACUCUAGAUUUGGUCCAGUGCCCCGCAGGUCAGUGCUGUCAUGUCAGUGUCCCCCUACUGUCAACAGAGAUUCUAAAGCA
Long non-coding RNA from Coregonus clupeaformis (lake whitefish), 1248 nucleotides. RefSeq lists it as uncharacterized. NCBI's taxonomy places the organism in Eukaryota, Metazoa, Chordata, Actinopteri, Salmoniformes, Salmonidae. The record is from RefSeq and is a predicted model, not a curated record. The transcript has 4 exons.